GGUCCACUAUAAACGCGCUCAUAGCGACGUUGCUUUUUGAUCCUUCGAUGUCGGCUCUUCCUAUCAUUGUGAAGCAUAAUUCACUAAGUGUUGGAUUUUUCACCCACUAAUAGGGAAUGUGAGCUAGGUUUAGACCGUCGUGAGACAGGUU
Molecule: non-coding RNA, 151 nt
Filed under: Oryza meridionalis
Lineage: Eukaryota; Viridiplantae; Streptophyta; Magnoliopsida; Poales; Poaceae
Description: rRNA LSU_rRNA_eukarya
Rfam family: Eukaryotic large subunit ribosomal RNA
Source: Rfam by way of RNAcentral